CACAAAAAAGGACUUUGGUUGACGCUGAGGUAGGCGCUCUCGGGCUCUACCGCCAGAUCCCAAGUUUUUUUCCACCCUUGUCUUUUGCGCACUCAUGUUUCCUCGGCAGGCUUGCCUGCCGGCUGGACUCAACCUAUAACCUUUUUAAUUUUCAAUCAGCGUCUGAAAUAAUUUUAAUAAUUA
RNAcentral lists this unclassified non-coding RNA (183 nucleotides) under uncultured Setomelanomma. Its description in RNAcentral is "sequence contains ITS1". Lineage: Eukaryota; Fungi; Ascomycota; Dothideomycetes; Pleosporales; Phaeosphaeriaceae. The record is from RNAcentral.